Carcharodon carcharias (great white shark) is the source of this 654-nucleotide long non-coding RNA. RefSeq lists it as uncharacterized. NCBI's taxonomy places the organism in Eukaryota, Metazoa, Chordata, Chondrichthyes, Lamniformes, Lamnidae. The record is from RefSeq and is a predicted model, not a curated record. The transcript has 6 exons.
UGGUAUCACAGUCGGUGACGCGAAACCACAAGCGAAGCUAUCGGACAGAGGGGACCCAGCCUUUGAAAGGGAGAUGUAUAUUUGCACGUCAGGUGAUCCAGUCAUGUAGUCGGCUGGUCGCAUAUGAAUGCUUCCGGCCAGUGUUGGCGAUCUCAGCUAGAUGCUGCCUGAUCUGCUGAGUAUUUCCAGUAUUACUAAGGGUCGCACUGGCUAAAGCAGAGCCCUAUGCGUGCUCAACCAACAGCUGCCAUGAACGUUGCCAGUCUCUGUGUUGGGAAGACUGCACCGUUGACCGUCAAGACUUGGCUCCUGCCCCACAACUGGGUUCCCUACAAUUGCAGCCCUGAGUUUCGUCUAUGGAGUUUACUUGCUACAUCAAACACUAUGGACCUGCAUACUCUACUAAGCCUAUCAAUCUCAAAAGGAAAUCCUGAGCAACCUCAACGAAAUACUCAUUUCUCUAUUUGUCAUGAAUGAAAUAUAAUUAUCUCAGGAAGAAGGACUGGAGACUCAGAACAAAAUAUGGUACCCUGGGAAGGUGGUGGUGGGCAUUCUUGAGCUGCGGCAGUCUUUCUAAUGAUGAUGCUCCACAAUUACAGUCAGGAUGUGAGCUUCGCUGGCUGAGUCAGCUUUAAUUGCCAUCCCUAAUUGCCC